Molecule: small nuclear RNA, 105 nt
Filed under: Sapajus apella (tufted capuchin)
Lineage: Eukaryota; Metazoa; Chordata; Mammalia; Primates; Cebidae
Also listed under: 1 other name
Source: RNAcentral
CUACUCACUUUGGCAGCACAUAAACUAAAAUUGGAAUGAUACAGAGAAGAUUAGCAUGGCCCCUGAGCAAGGAUGACAGAAAUUUGUGAAGCAUUCCAUAUUUAA